AUUGAACGCUGGCGGUAGGCCUAACACAUGCAAGUCGAACGGCAGAACAGUGCGUGCUCGCUCUUACGGGUGGCGACUGGCGGGCGGGUGCUGGAAACCUCGGAAUCUACUUUUUAGAACGGGCUAACGUGGGGAAUCAUACGCUAUUAGCGCUUACGACCUACGGGUGAAAGCUUGGGAUCUUAGGCUCUUGCGCGAGUGUAUGACCCGAUGUCGGAUUAGCUAGUUGGCGGGGUAAAGGCCCACCAAGGCGACGAUCCGUAGCUGGUCUGAGAGGAUGAUCAGUCACACUGGAACUGAGACACGGUCCAGACUCCUACGGGAGGCAGCAGUGGGGAAUAUUGGACAAUGGGCGCAAGCCUGAUCCAGCCAUACCGCGUGUGUGAAGAAGGCCUCCGGGUUGUAAAGCCCUUUUGGUGGGAAAGAAAAGCAGCAAGUUAAUACCCCGCUGUUUUGACGGUACCCAAAGAAUAAGCACCGGCUAACUUCGUG
RNAcentral lists this ribosomal RNA (492 nucleotides) under uncultured bacterium. RNAcentral's name for it is "partial 16S ribosomal RNA". It matches the Rfam family "Bacterial small subunit ribosomal RNA", at positions 30 to 507 of the family's 1533-position model. The record is from RNAcentral.